Molecule: ribosomal RNA, 650 nt
Filed under: uncultured beta proteobacterium
Lineage: Bacteria; Pseudomonadati; Pseudomonadota; Betaproteobacteria
Description: bacterial SSU rRNA
Rfam family: Bacterial small subunit ribosomal RNA
Source: RNAcentral
ACGGAGAGCUUGCUCUCUGGUGGCGAGUGGCGAACGGGUGAGUAAUACAUCGGAACGUGCCCAGUAGUGGGGGAUAGCCCGGGGAAACUCGGAUUAAUACCGCAUACGCCCUAAGGGGGAAAGUGGGGGAUCUUCGGACCUCACGCUAUUGGAGCGGCCGAUGCCUGAUUAGCUAGUUGGUAGGGUAAAGGCCUACCAAGGCGACGAUCAGUAGCUGGUCUGAGAGGACGACCAGCCACACUGGGACUGAGACACGGCCCAGACUCCUACGGGAGGCAGCAGUGGGGAAUUUUGGACAAUGGGGGAAACCCUGAUCCAGCAAUGCCGCGUGUGCGAAGAAGGCCUUCGGGUUGUAAAGCACUUUUGUUUGGAAAGAAAUCGUUUUUGCUAAUACCAGAGACGGAUGACGGUACCAAUCGAAUAAGCACCGGCUAACUACGUGCCAGCAGCCGCGGUAAUACGUAGGGUGCAAGCGUUAAUCGGAAUUACUGGGCGUAAAGCGUGCGCAGGCGGCUAUGUAAGACAGAUGUGAAAUCCCCGGGCUCAACCUGGGAAUUGCAUUUGUGACUGCAUGGCUAGAGUGUGUCAGAGGGAGGUGGAAUUCCACGUGUAGCAGUGAAAUGCGUAGAUAUGUGGAGGAACACCAAUGG